Molecule: long non-coding RNA, 2035 nt
Organism: Oreochromis niloticus (Nile tilapia)
Lineage: Eukaryota; Metazoa; Chordata; Actinopteri; Cichliformes; Cichlidae
Exons: 2
Source: RefSeq, a predicted model, not a curated record
UAGAGAAUUCUACACAGAAUAAUAAGUGGCCAAUUGCGUCUGUUUGCUCUCCAACAAACCUCAGGAUUAGAGGCAUUUUCUUGUCAGAGGCAUAAACUAUUUUUAUGUUUGCAGGGACAGAGAAGGAGGGGGAGGGAAUAGAGAAAGAGGUGUGGGGUGCAGAUAUGAAAAGAGCAUACUAAUGCUGUGUGGUGACAGGUUUCUCCCUGUUUCCUUCCUAUAAGAUGAGAUGAGAAGGGAAGGGGGGGAAAAGGAGGGGAAAAAGAGAUGCUCUUAAAAAGAAACUCAGGCACCCUUAACUAAUGAAGGAGAACAUGAUAGAGAGAGGCAGAGAAAGACAGAGGCAGAUCAUUUCUAGUCCAGUUAACUGGGAGUGCUGACAUUUGUAGCAGCGGGCCAGGCGAGGUGAAAAAUCCGGGUGGCACUUAGUUGGGUGAGCUGAAGUGAAAUGUUUUGGAAAGCUCUCUGGGUUUUUAGUUUUUUUGUGUCUCUUUUAGAUUAAUCGACAAACACUCAUCUCCUAAUUUCUUCUUCCUGCUCUGAGCCGUGGAGAACAUAACCCUAGUGUGCAAUGAUGUCAUUAUGAUACCAUCUGUUUGUUGCACAGGCAGACGCAACAUACGCACACAUUCAUUCACACACAUGCACAAGAUAGCAAUGGAUCAGAUAACACACAGAGUGAGAGAACCUAUGACACACAGACCGUGCCCUGCGUAUCAGCCACACGUCACGUUCGUGCUGCAUGUUUAAUGCUGCCUUAUUGUAAAGAGCAAAAAAGGUGAUUGUUGGCUACAGGAAGCUUUGUAUCUGUGAUCCAAAUACAUACUCCUGCUGUCACCAGAGGACAGGGCAGCUUUCUUUACUGUCCACAGACUACAUGCGAGAGCUACCAGGCUAUCGCCAUGUCUAUCAAGGUCAUGAGGGCAGAUCCUUUUUUUUUUUUUUUUGCCUGUCCCGUUUGGCUCUUUUGCCAUCAGAAUUAUUGUCUAAAGGCGAAGAAAGAUGCCCAACGGAUUCACUGUAAAAACUGUGAUUUGGGUUAAUUAGUAUCUAAUAGGAAAGUAAUAGUAACUAUUACUCAGUAAAAACAUGUAUGUGUUGUUUUAAUUAAAUCUAAGCAAAAUUAAACAUUUUUGAGAUGUUCAGUUAUUUAAAUUUACACAAUUUUGUUUGGGGUAAAUUAAGCAAUAGUUUAUUGAGCAGAUUUAACAAAAAUGUAUGAGUACCAUGAAAAAUUAAGAAAUCUAAUAGAUUUAACUAAUGAAAGCAUUUUCAUUUCAAUGAUUCUACACUUCCGCCCGUAGUCAGUUGUGCCACGUGCAGGACACACACACUUCAGCAGUGGAUGAUCUCCAUUUUGUCCGAGGUUGAACGAGAUAGAGCUCCAUGUAAUCACUGAUGACCAAAUCGAGAAGUUGGUUCUUUCAUCGGGGAUCCCACCAACAGUAGAGGAGCUGCAAAGUGUUGUGUAGGAUACCUUUGGGAUUUCAAACGACUUCAGUCUUCAGUAUUUUAAACCACAAUUUCAGGACUACUUCACUAUUCGCAGAAGUGACCAGGAUCAGCUAAAGUUGUGCAUCACCCUGGUCAUCCUGCCAGUUUUCGGCAGCCCCUCUGAUCAACUGUCAACUGACUAUCACUCAUCAUCCAAUCCAGUUGUAUCCAGUGCAGACUCUGCUGCAACCACAUCUUCUCAGGACAAAAUUAUUCUCAAAAGGCAGAAGUUCACAGAACGUUGUGAGCCCUGGCCGAAGCUGUUCCCCAUUCCACAGUCUUCAUAUGAAACCGAAAUGUAACUGGAAAGAGCCACUGAGAGUAUAAAAAGAAUGGAAAUCUUCUGCCCACCUCCAAAGUAAAGACUGACAUUCUCGAGAAGUUGGCUGAAACUGUAUUUUCAAUUAUGGCCUAUUCUUCCUAUUAUUUUGGGGCAAGCACUAGUGAAGAAUUUCAGUGCAUACAAUCUAAAUCAAUCAGAAAAAUGUUAUAUUAUACAUUUUGUAUACGUUUUAUAUUCCACAAUAAAAGUUUGAAUGUU